RNAcentral lists this ribosomal RNA (460 nucleotides) under uncultured bacterium. RNAcentral's name for it is "partial 16S ribosomal RNA". It matches the Rfam family "Bacterial small subunit ribosomal RNA", at positions 338 to 795 of the family's 1533-position model. The record is from RNAcentral.
CCUACGGGUGGCUGCAGUGAGGAAUAUUGGUCAAUGGCCGAGAGGCUGAACCAGCCAAGUCGCGUGCGGGAAGACUGUCCUAUGGAUUGUAAACUUCUUUUAUCAGGGAGCAAAGCGACCCACGUGUGGGUGUUUGCGUGUACCUUAAGAAAAAGCAUCGGCUAACUCCGUGCCAGCAGCCGCGGUAAUACGGAAGGUUCGGGCGUUAUCCGGAUUUAUUGGGUUUAAAGGGUGUGUAGGCCGAGUGUCAAGUGUGCGGUAAAAUGUCGGGGCUCAACCCCGUCCCGGCAGCGCGAACUGGUGUGCUUGAGUCCGCGGAAAGCAGGCGGAAUGCGUCGUGUAGCGGUGAAAUGCUUAGAUAUGACGAAGAACCCCGAUUGCGAAGGCAGCUUGCUGCAGCCGAACUGACGCUGAUGCUCGAAAGCGCGGGUAUCGAACAGGAUUAGAUACCCCUGUAGUC